Molecule: long non-coding RNA, 716 nt
Filed under: Citrus sinensis (sweet orange)
Lineage: Eukaryota; Viridiplantae; Streptophyta; Magnoliopsida; Sapindales; Rutaceae
Description: long non-coding RNA (CSIN_LNC001881)
Source: RNAcentral
UUGUUGCCGGUUUCCGGUGACUGAAUUCCUCGGUAGAAGGAUUGUUAAUUAUUGUCCUCCACCGAGAAUGAAACUUAGUAGGUCGAUUAAUAAGUCAAUUAAUGCUCUUGCAAUGGAGUUGACAAAGGAGACAUAUUCUUUUAGAGAGGAGGAGAAAAUACCUCUGGAUUGGAGGUACCAGAUUGACACUGGUGUUGAUCGAAAACCUGGCUUGUGGCCACCGGAGAAUAAAGCAGAUAAUCCUUCAUUGCACAAUCCCUUGCUCCGACAAGAAAGGAUGGGUUGCGGCUGGUUAGGUGCUAUAUUUGAAUGGGAAGGAGUGAUUAUUGAAGACAAUCCUGAUCUUGAGAAGCAAGCUUGGCUGACUCUUGCACAAGAAGAAGGAAAAUCUCCUCCUCCGGCUUUCAUUCUUAGAAGAAUCGAAGGGAUGAAGAAUGAACAGGCCAUAUCAGAAGUUUUGUGCUGGUCAAGAGACCCAGCAGAACUGAGAAGAAUGGCUUCGAGGAUGGAAGAGAUUUAUCAAGCUCUACAAGGUGGGAUAUAUAGACUACGAACUGGAUCUAAGGAGUUUGUGAAUAUAUUGAUGCAUUACAAGAUACCAAUGGCAUUAGUUUCGACUCGUCCAAGGAAAACCCUGGAGACUGCAAUUGAUAGCAUAGGGAUUGAAGAAUACUUUACUGCAAUUGUAGCGGCAGAGGAUGUCCACAGGGGAAAAC